RNAcentral lists this ribosomal RNA (251 nucleotides) under uncultured bacterium. Its description in RNAcentral is "partial 16S ribosomal RNA". It matches the Rfam family "Bacterial small subunit ribosomal RNA", at positions 264 to 507 of the family's 1533-position model. The record is from RNAcentral.
CUCACCAAGCCGACGAUCUGUAGCUGGUCUGAGAGGACGACCAGCCACACUGGGACUGAGACACGGCCCAGACUCCUACGGGAGGCAGCAGUGGGGAAUUUUGGACAAUGGGCGCAAGCCUGAUCCAGCAAUGCCGCGUGCAGGAUGAAGGCCUUCGGGUUGUAAACUGCUUUUGUACGGAACGAAACGGUGAGCUCUAAUACAGUUUGCUAAUGACGGUACCGUAAGAAUAAGCACCGGCUAACUACGUG